GUUUUCAAUGAUCGCGCCGGUGCCCGUAAAUGGGCUUAAUCGGGAAUGCGGUGCGGGGGGCCUGCCCCCCAAAUCCGUGGCUGUCCCUGCAACUGUGAGCGGAUAGCGCGAUGCACAUGUCCCCCUCCAUCCGGGGGCGGCCACUGGGCUUAACGGUCUGGGAAGGCGUGCAUCAAGCUGUGACCCGCAAGCCAGGAGACCUGCCGGCGCACCGGUCGCUCU
Molecule: non-coding RNA, 222 nt
Filed under: Novosphingobium sp.
Lineage: Bacteria; Pseudomonadati; Pseudomonadota; Alphaproteobacteria; Sphingomonadales; Sphingomonadaceae
Source: RNAcentral